Aethina tumida (small hive beetle) is the source of this 750-nucleotide long non-coding RNA. RefSeq lists it as uncharacterized. The transcript has 3 exons. Lineage: Eukaryota; Metazoa; Arthropoda; Insecta; Coleoptera; Nitidulidae. The record is from RefSeq and is a predicted model, not a curated record.
UUUUAAGCAUGAUGAAACAUUCAUUUUUAUUUUUCUGACACCUCUUCAGAUUGUACAGUGGUGACCUUUUUAUCUGAUUGAUAAUGUUAUGUUUUAAAUUGUAUUUAUAAAAAAGUGGAAAUUUAAAUAUGUACAUUUUUCUUUGCAGAUAUAUUGGUCCAUGAUAACUAGGAGCCUUAAAAUUAAUGUUCAGAUACAGAAUAUGUACAUUUUCUUUGCAGAUAUAUUGGUCCAUGAUACUAGGAGCCUUAAAAUUAAUGUUCAGAUACAUCUUAAUAAUAAGGAAAAUCCGUAAGGGACUAUGGAGGGGUAACAAAGUAAAUUGUAAGUUGUUUGUGUAAAUUAAUAUAAUUAAAUUAUUCAUACAAUGAUGAUACAUUUAAAAUUAAUUACUUUUUCUGACACCUCUUCAGAAUGCAUAGUGGUGACAUUUUAAUCUGACUUAAUAAUUUUAUUAGAGUUUAUUUUUAAUAAAUAAUAACACAUGUUAAAAUAUUUUCUUUUGUUUGCAGGUGAGAUGCUAGUUACUAUGUAAAAUUGGCGUUUUGAAGUUGAUUAUUAAUUUAAUAAUUAAAGAAAUAAUUAAAAGUGAAUUGUAUUUAAGAAAAUAAAGUUUCAAAUUUAAAUUUCAAGAAUUUGUUUCUCAUAUAUCCAUAACCUUUUAUCAUAUCCUGUUUAAAUUUGGUGUGUAUUAUCCUAAAAUACAUACUCUCGAUUAAGUUUUAUUAUACUUCAGUUUUUAAUUUUAAG